AGGCGUAUCGCCAAGUGGUAAGGCACGGGACUUUGACUCCCGUAUCGUUGGUUCAAAUCCAGCUACGCCUG
RNAcentral lists this transfer RNA (71 nucleotides) under Methanobrevibacter sp. Its description in RNAcentral is "tRNA-Gln". It matches the Rfam family "tRNA". Rfam says of the family: Transfer RNA (tRNA) molecules are approximately 80 nucleotides in length. Their secondary structure includes four short double-helical elements and three loops (D, anti-codon, and T loops). The record is from RNAcentral. Lineage: Archaea; Methanobacteriati; Methanobacteriota; Methanobacteria; Methanobacteriales; Methanobacteriaceae.